AUUGAGAGGUUGUUCCUUCUACUGAAUGGGCGGAUAUAAAUCCGACCACUCAGAAGAAGGAGCUGCGGUUGUGUUUCCCGAAGUUGCCAUGUUAACACUGCUGCUAGUGAAGGAGCGGAGGGGAGAGCAAGAGAACCCUCCGCUCUUUUGGCUCCGUGGGCGGGAUAGAACAGCAGAACGGGCGGAUCCAGUCUGUGGCCAGUAGUUUGCCCAUGGCUGGUAGGAGCUGGUUCCCUCCACAGUUUCCCUCCAGAUAGCUGGCGCUCUCGCAGAUGCACAAAAGAUGAACUUUCAUCCAUCUGGUAAAGCAAAUCAUUAGAGGUCUUGGGGCAGAAAGGAUCUCAACCUAGUCUCAAACUUUCUUUCAAUGGGUCAGAAGCCUGGCUCGCUGGCGUGGAGCCGGGCGUGGAAUGCGAGUGCCUACCGGGCCACUUUUGGUCAGCAGAACUGGCGCUGCGGGGUGAACCGAAUGACGCUCAUCAGACCCCAGAAAAGGUGUUGGUUGAUAGCGACAGCAGGACGGGGGUCAUGGAAGUCGCAAUCUGCUAAGGAGUGUGUAACAACUCACCUGCGGAAUCAACGAGCCCUGAAAACGGAUGGCGCCGGUGCCGCGGGCCCAUACCCGGCUGUAGUUCUUCCAAGGAGAACUUGGAAGGCCAAAGUGGAGAAGGGUUCCAUGAGAACAGCAGUUGCACAUGGGUCAGUCGGUCCUGAGAGAUGGGCGAGCGCCAUUCCGAGGGGACCGGCAAUGGCCUCCGUUGCCCUCAGCCGAUCGAAAGGGAGUCGUGUUCAUAUCCCCGAAUCCCGAGUGGCGGAGACGGGCGCCCCGAGGCGUCCAGUGCGGUAACGCGACCGACCCCACCACCCGGGGAAGCAGCCGGAGGCCCCAGGGAGAGUUCUCUUUUUUUGUGAAGGGCAGGGCGCCGAGGAAUGGGUUCGCCCCGAGAGAGGGGCCUGUGCCUUGGAAAGCAUCGCGGUUCCGGCGAUGUCCGGUGCGCGCCCGCUGGCCCUUGGACAAAAAAUCCCAGGGAGAGGGUGUAAAUCUCGCUCCGGGCCAUACCCAUAUCCUCCGGGGUUGGGGUG
Molecule: non-coding RNA, 1083 nt
Organism: Myotis lucifugus (little brown bat)
Lineage: Eukaryota; Metazoa; Chordata; Mammalia; Chiroptera; Vespertilionidae
Source: Rfam